RNAcentral lists this non-coding RNA (48 nucleotides) under Schistosoma margrebowiei. Lineage: Eukaryota; Metazoa; Platyhelminthes; Trematoda; Strigeidida; Schistosomatidae. The record is from RNAcentral.
AAUCAGCUGACGAGUCUUACAUAGGACGAAGCACGCGUCAAACUGAAU